This 477-nucleotide long non-coding RNA is filed under the name Manihot esculenta (cassava). Its description in RNAcentral is "long non-coding RNA (MESC_LNC007111)". The record is from RNAcentral. Lineage: Eukaryota; Viridiplantae; Streptophyta; Magnoliopsida; Malpighiales; Euphorbiaceae.
UGUGUUGUUGUUUGAGGAACAUUCGGGGAUGAAUGUUCUUAAGGGGGGAAGAAUGUAAUACCCGGCUCGAGUCCGGCCUCGGAAUUCCUGUCGUCUGGUGGAAUCUCGGGUGUCGGAACCCUCGAGAAGGGUAAGACCUAUGUUUUCAUUAGUGUUUUAAGAGUUUUGAAUGGUUUAAAGUGUUAAAGGAAAUGCGUUUUGAAAGAAAAGCAAUAAGGGAGAAAUGCAAAGGUUCGGCCGCCGAAGGUCACUUUCGGCCGCCGAACAUUGCAUGGUUUCAGAUUCACGUUCGGCUGCCGAAGGUGGUCUGGCUAGCCACCUAUUUAAGGGCCAAAGGUCGGUGGAAGGAGGAUAUUUCUCCUCCACUUGCAGCCAGAGGUGAGUUCCAGCCUCUCCCAAGUUGACUUUCAUGUUUUUCAUGUUUUUCACCAAAUCUUUCAAAGGUUUUACAAGUCUUGGUGUGUUUUGAAGGUUUUG